CUAUACAGGCCAAAAUCUAUCACAAUGUCAACCACGGAAAACAAUUUUCGAGUUGAAUCACUUCUUCAUAGUUUGAAAGAAGUGCAGAAUGAAAAAUGUUGCAUGGAACGUAAGUUGACUGAACAGAGAAAUAAACGAAGGAAUAUGGAGCGAGAGUUUGAAACUGUGAAUAUGAAGUUGGUACAAGUGACAGAUAUACACCACAAAAUGAUGGAAACCAUGAAAAUUGCCCAGUUAAAAGUUGCAAAGACACAAGCACAAGCCGAUAGUUUAGAAGAAGGAAAUGAGAAAAGACGGGGAAAGAUCGCCGACUUGAACAGACGAAUUGAACGAGAAAAGGAGAAACAGAAUGCAGAAGUAGCAAAAUUUGAGGAGGAGUUGUCUGAACUUGCUUCUAAAUUAAUAACUGCAAGAAACUGCCAUAAAGAUGAUCAUUUGGAAGAAACAUUGAAAAACCUUGAAUCCGAGAAGCGACAACUGGGGAAACAUAAGAGUUUGUUGAAGAGUGAAGUUGAUAAGCUUGCACAGACUCUGGAAUCCAUUACGUUACAGCAGCACCUUGGAGUAGAUUAUCCAGACAUAAAUGAAGAAACACGUCGACAAAUCUGGCAACUAUUUAAGGAGGAACACUGUGAAAGUAAAGAUUACUUGAAUAAAUUGAGUAAUGAGGUUGACGAUAUUCAGACACAAUUACAUCUUUAUCAACAGUAGAUUCGUCAUUAUCAGUUUGUUUUACCUUAAAGUCCUGAUGCGCCAUUUUAAGGAGUAGGAAUCGCUUGAAAAGAUGAAUCUCUACUAGGAUAUCUGUCCAAGGUGGUUCAAUUCCGUUCAGUAUUUACAAAUAUAUGUGGAAUUGAAAUUUAAUCGAUCUAUGCUACUCGCCAUGAAAUAAGCCAACCGCCAUUUUGAUGUCGGCUAUCAUUUACAUGUAGUGAUAGGCUUGUUUGAAAUCGAAUUGAAUUCAAGCCGAUAGGAUAACUAGCGUCAGUAUUUUGAUUUUGUUUUUUUAAUUAAAUGUUAAAUAAUUAUUAAUAUUAUGGAUUUGAUAUUUUAGCAACCAAUGCCAUGACGCAUCCGGAUUAUAUAAUUUACUCUGCCCAGUCAUGUCUUAGUUUGGUCAUUAUGAAGAACAUCCAAACACGAAAGGAUGUCCGUGUCUUGUGUCUAUAAUAAUACCUAGAUGAUAUUAUGAAAGACAGUGUCGAUUGAAAUCCCACUUCUAGUAUCAAUGAGCAAAUGUGGUCACCGGCGAUGGUUGAAUCCUCGAAAAUACAUCCAUCCAUAUUAGUAUCACCAACGGUUCGGGGCUAUUCUGCGUUCGAAUA
Long non-coding RNA from Patella vulgata (common limpet), 1325 nucleotides. RefSeq lists it as uncharacterized. The record is from RefSeq and is a predicted model, not a curated record. The transcript has 9 exons. Lineage: Eukaryota; Metazoa; Mollusca; Gastropoda; Patellidae.